RNAcentral lists this ribosomal RNA (2474 nucleotides) under Triticum aestivum (bread wheat). RNAcentral describes it as "partial small subunit ribosomal RNA". Lineage: Eukaryota; Viridiplantae; Streptophyta; Magnoliopsida; Poales; Poaceae. The record is from RNAcentral.
GCGUGUGUUCUGUUCUCCGAGGUGGUUGGACUCCCCGUUGGUUGGUCAGGUCAGGUCAGCAGAAGGGGUAGAGGCGAGGUGGGGUUAAAAGCUGGGCAGAGCGGGGAAACGGGGGGGGGCAGAGAGGCGGCGGACGCGAUCCGCUAGCGGCCGCGUCCUACCGCCGCCGACCACGUCGCUGCGGCCACCCGCGUCGCGGGUCCCACCCCGACGACAUGCUGCUAUCCUACACGCGCGUGCGCUGCGGACUGCCCCUCUUCGUGGGCCUCUUGGGGCUCGCCGACGCGCGGUAGGCCGCGUUCGAGCUGCGGCUCCCGCAGCGCAGGUCCACACACCUGUACUUCCGUUUCCUCCGGUUUCUUUUUAUAUAUCGGAGACAGGUAUGGGGUUUAGUAUAUUUUGACUAUUCCCUAUAGUCGAGCUUCCUCAUACUAAUGGCAGCUUUGUUCUGACGAUCCUUUAAGUUAAGGUAAAUGAAGUUACUCCCGAGGAGUCUCAGACGAAAGGAACGUCGACCAAGACAGUAGCUCCAACGACUCUUCCAACGCCGUCCACUCAACUCAAGACGAUAGCGAGAACAGUCCGGAGGUCCGGUGGUACGACUUGUAUUACUCGGUUACCCUAAAACAGAGAAGUUGUUGCACCGAUAACGUCGUUUAAUAGAGAAUUUACUCUCCGGACUGGAUCCAUAGUUGUUCUAUAAUUAGCAGCUAACCCUACAAGUAGUACCUUUACCGUGUGUCUUCUACAAAAUAUCACUGAGAGCACAUAACAAGAAAAGUCACGUGUCUAAACUAAUGCCUUCGAAGAUGGGAACACUUCCCCUACGUAGAGUGACAAAGUAACCCCUUCCUCGACCACUUCCCAUGUUGUAAUUACACGGGACCCUCGUACCAUUUACAUCACUACGUCUAAUACAACGACGUACCCUGGUACAUGACGAAGGAUAACGUCUUCGUAAACUAGGACUAUAUUAUAAUGACAGACGACCCAAACUGCGUCGUUACCCACUAGGAGAACCACCAACGACGUAGUGAGGUCUACCUAUACGUGACGAUGAUUGUUUCGACAAUCCAAAACGUUUUCCUUCCUAACACUACCGAGAACUUCCUCCGAUAUUGGAAUUCAGGUAUCGUUUGAGUCAAACACGAACGUGUUUUCAAAACAACCCUCUAUUGAAGUGUAUAUUGAGAGGUGCCUACGUUGGUAAACUUAGAUGUACCUCUCAGUAUGUUUACCAUNNNNNNNNNNNNNNNNNNNNNNNNNNNNNNNNNNNNNNNNNNNNNNGCCUAUUACAUGGAAACUCCUCACGUGGCAGUAUAUAGCUCGGCAUGCGUAGGAGACCAAGACUCAGACUACAACUUCUACAAUCACUCGAAGGACUACGAUAAAGUAGACAGUUACAAUGAGUUCAACAACUACUACAAAAUUCAUUUGUGUAGUGUUACAACUUUGAACUGCUUCUAUUGGAGCACUGCUUCUUGUGGAGUUCACUAAGUCAAGUUCGUGUUCUGCUGCAUGGACAACACCGCAGAUGUUCUUAUAUACUAGAUGGUAAAUGAACCUCUAGUCGUAACAGUUUUCAAAUACAAACCAUACGGUCGAAACCAAGUUUGUACACCUUUGGUUCCAAGAACUCGAUGUAACUUCCCCCCUUCCAACUACCAUACUCAUAUAGUACGAAACCAAGUGUACUGUGUUCGGGUGGUUCUCCAUGGUACACCUUCUGACACGGAGUAUCUAACAAAAAACCCUCUAGAAGAUGGGGAACGACCCCAUGGCCACCACAACGAAAGGAGUUGGGACUCUGUUUGAUGUUACUACUCAGUAUACAGACGUACAUGUUUUAUUGCGAACUCGUCAAGUUACUACAUAACAAAGUUCUCUUGUCCAAUCACUUCCUAUUGUCGCUUCUACCUUUUGAACUCAGAGGGUCGAGAGGAAACUAACCGAACAGGCUUUAUCUCAGACAGAGAAGUUUGUUUCGAGAAGUAGAACUUGGAUAGUUCCUAUCGACCAUGAGGUUACAUGAAGUGGAACCUCUCCUCCUGCCGGAAGGUUAGAAUUGAUACUGUACGGGGAGUUGUCGACAACGCGUCGUGUUUAGACCGCUCGACGGUAAUCGAGGAGGUAGACUCUGGAUGAGGCGGUGAGACUAGUUCCCUGAGCACCUUCCCUUCGUCGACCUGCGGUUGCUCCGGCGGUUGAUGUAGAGGAGACGACGGCGUUCUUCGGACACUUGAACACCUCCGACGAAGCGGCACACAACACAUGUCGGUCACCCUUCCUUCCUUAAUUCCCUAACACGCAUCAUCCGUACAUUUUUACAUCAAACUAAGCCUUGGUCCCCUCGGCAUCUCCGGAGUAAAACACGGUGGUAACCUAGACUGAUACAAGUAGUCAUCCUAGCAAACCUCAAACGCGACCUAACUACUGAUGAGUCUUAUAAUUUACCUACUUGAUCAAACUCAUCG